GAUGAACGCUGGCGGCGUGCUUAACACAUGCAAGUCGAACGGGAAACCUUUGAUUGAAGCUUCUGCAGAUUUAGCUGGCUUCUAGUGGCGGACGGGGUAGUAACGCGUGGGUAACCUGCCCUAUACAGGGGGAUAACAACCAGAAAUGGUUGCUAAUACCGCAUAAGCGCACAGGGCCGCAUGGUUCGGUGUGAAAAACUCGGGUGGUAUAGGAUGGGCCCGCGUUGGCUUAGCCGGUUGGCAGGGUAACGGCCGACCAAAGCGACGAUCCAGGGCCGGGCUGGUAAGGUGAACGGCCACAUUGGGACUGAGACCCGGCCCAGACUCCUACGCGAGAGAGCAGUGGGGAAUAUUGCACGAUGGGGGAAAACCUGAUGACGCGACGCCGCGUGAAGGAAGAAGUAGCUCGGUAUGUAAACUUCUAUCAGCAGGGAAGAUAGUGACGGUACCUGACUAAGAAGCCCCGGCUAACUACGUG
This 478-nucleotide ribosomal RNA is filed under the name uncultured bacterium. Its description in RNAcentral is "partial 16S ribosomal RNA". It matches the Rfam family "Bacterial small subunit ribosomal RNA", at positions 28 to 507 of the family's 1533-position model. The record is from RNAcentral.